This 73-nucleotide transfer RNA is filed under the name Ailuropoda melanoleuca (giant panda). It matches the Rfam family "tRNA". Rfam says of the family: Transfer RNA (tRNA) molecules are approximately 80 nucleotides in length. Their secondary structure includes four short double-helical elements and three loops (D, anti-codon, and T loops). Lineage: Eukaryota; Metazoa; Chordata; Mammalia; Carnivora; Ursidae. The record is from Rfam by way of RNAcentral.
ACCUGGCUGGCUCAGUCAGUGGAGCAUGUGACUCUCAAUCUCAAGGUUGUGAGUUCAAGCCCCACACUGGGCA